This 73-nucleotide transfer RNA is filed under the name Coemansia aciculifera. Its description in RNAcentral is "tRNA-Val". It matches the Rfam family "tRNA". From Rfam's summary of the family: Transfer RNA (tRNA) molecules are approximately 80 nucleotides in length. Their secondary structure includes four short double-helical elements and three loops (D, anti-codon, and T loops). The record is from RNAcentral. Lineage: Eukaryota; Fungi; Kickxellomycota; Kickxellomycetes; Kickxellales; Kickxellaceae.
GGUUCUAUCGAAUAGUGGUUAUUUCACUAGUUUUACGUACUAGGGGUCGCCGGUUCGAUCCCGGCUGGAACCA